GGGCCCAGACUAAGCCAUUAUGACCUAACUUUAACUUGAUUACCUCUGGAAAGACCCUGUUUCCAAAAAAUGUCACAGCCACAGGGACUGAGAGUUAGAGCAUCCACACAUAUUUCUUGAGAGGCAUAAGUCAGCUCACAACAGACAUCUACCAGACUUGGUUAUAGUAUAAGGAAGCCACUGGUGAUCUUCCCACUAUGCUUUAUCAUGCAGCUAGAGAGAGCCAGAUAUGGGCAUGUUGAAGGGAAGGACCUGAUGGAAAGUGAGAAGUUGGAGAUGCAGAAGAGAAAGGUUUACUGAUGGAAUAAGUCUUGAUGGAGAUGAGUGUGGGUGAGGGAAGACCUUAGCCUCGGGCAGAAGAGGCUGAAUGGAGGUGGGAGUUGGUCCUGGGAAGAGGUGGCAGAACCAGCAAACAGAAUCGAUUUGGAGAGAGGAGCGCAGGGGCCUGCUAAUCUACUCUACAAAGGUGUACCCAGCCAACUGGCACAUCAGAGCUUCUGGGUGCCAGGAACCAACAAGGAAUAGAACAAAAAGCCCUUCAGUUCUGCUGACUAAAUUAAAGCUAACCAGCCGAAAAGAAAGACUUUCAUCAUUUGGCAGAAACUUACCUCUGACAACUCCUCCAGGUCCAGGUGAAACUGUAGGACUUACUGAUAUUGGGGCACGCUCUUCACACUACUGCUACGAAUUUGCUCACGCUCCCUGGAAUGCCUCCUACAGCUGA
This 724-nucleotide long non-coding RNA is filed under the name Papio anubis (olive baboon). RNAcentral describes it as "lncRNA (ENSPANG00000045143.1)". The record is from RNAcentral. Lineage: Eukaryota; Metazoa; Chordata; Mammalia; Primates; Cercopithecidae.